This is a long non-coding RNA of Neofelis nebulosa (Clouded leopard), 1014 nucleotides long. RefSeq lists it as uncharacterized. The record is from RefSeq and is a predicted model, not a curated record. Lineage: Eukaryota; Metazoa; Chordata; Mammalia; Carnivora; Felidae. The transcript has 2 exons.
GCCUGGACCUCCACCCACCUCCCCACGUUUGGACCCCACCACCACCACCUCCCCAGCCCUGGACCGCCCCUCCACCUCCCCGGGCCUGGACCUCCCCUCCCUGAGCCUGGAUCCCCCCACCUUCACCCGGGCUUUGCUCAGGGUCUCUGCCCGGCCCCCGGCCUCAGCCUAGUUGUGGGGGGGCGGGGGGGGGGGGCGGGCUGGCGAGGACAGUUGUGGCGUUUCCAGGAGACUGGAGCAUGCGAGCAGCCGGAACCCUCGCAAUUUUGUUUCCAGAAAGGACGUCUUACCUGUGUGCUGGCAACAUUUCUGUAACACAGAAUCAGACCCAUGCAGCUCGGCUCCUUCCCACUGUUCCCAAGCCAGCGGGUUUACCGCCAGAGCCUCAGCAUCCUCUCCGGAGAAAUGGGAAUGAUCACUACAGCCUAACAAGGAGGGAGCCCACCCCGUUUAGUGUUUUAGCCAUAAGGGUGUUUAUCCAUUACACCGAAAGUGCUCACCGGGCACAGAAUCGGCUAGAAACCCGCAAGCCUGCCCCUUCCUGGUCACCACUGGACAAGUGCGCCCACCUUGGGAUUUCCUGGUCUCCUUUGCUGUUUCCUCACUACUGUCCUCAUCCUCUUGGUUUCAUUCAAUCCGGACAGUCUCGCCUUGCUUUCUGUCUCUACAGGCCUCUCUUUAUUUUAAUUUCCGUUGUUACACCUUGACCGAAGUUAUUUCAACACUGUCAGAUUGCAGACGUUUUAAGCCUGGAAUGUGCACGAGAUGAUAGGAGCUUGAGCGGCUGUCCUGGACCAGGAAGCAAUCUGGAACACCAGAAGCCGACUAGGAGGGUGUAGUGGAAAGGCGACUAAGCCUGGGUCCUUACACACUGCAGAGUGUCUGCAGCAGACUUCAUGGUCCGCUAAAGCCACUGUCUUACUUGGAAGCCACUUACUUGGAUUGUCUGCAUAUGCAACUAAAACCAACCCUAACUAAUAAUAUACAGUUUUUAUUAAUAAACAAUUUUCUUUU